RNAcentral lists this ribosomal RNA (617 nucleotides) under uncultured Alphaproteobacteria bacterium. RNAcentral's name for it is "bacterial SSU rRNA". It matches the Rfam family "Bacterial small subunit ribosomal RNA", at positions 10 to 653 of the family's 1533-position model. Lineage: Bacteria; Pseudomonadati; Pseudomonadota; Alphaproteobacteria. The record is from RNAcentral.
AGUUUGAUCAUGGCUCAGAACGAACGCUGGCGGCACACUUAACACAUGCAAGUCGAACGAAUUGAGAGGUGCUUGCACCUUGAUAUUAGUGGCAAACGGGUGAGUAACGCGUAGGAAUUUACCUUUUGGUGGGGGAUAGCUUCGGGAAACUGAAGGUAAUACCGCAUAAUAUCUGCUCUGCAGAAGAAAGAUUUAUUGCCAAAAGAUAAGCCUGCGUCAGAUUAGGUAGUUGGUAGGGUAAUGGCUUACCAAGCCGAAGAUCUGUAGCUGGUCUGAGAGGAUGAUCAGCCACACUGGGACUGAGAUACGGCCCAGACUCCUACGGGAGGCAGCAGUGAGGAAUAUUGGACAAUGGGAGAAAUCCUGAUCCAGUGAUGUCGCGUGAGUGAAGAAGGCUUUCGAGUCGUAAAACUCUUUCAUUUGUGAAGAUUAUGACGGUAACAAAAUAAGAAACUCCGGCUAACUUCGUGCCAGCAGCCGCGGUAAUACGAGGGGAGUAAGCGUUGUUCGGAAUUAUUGGGCGUAAAGGGUGUGUAGGCGGUUAUAUAAGUAAAAUGUUAAAUCCCCGGGCUUAACCUUGGAAUUGCAUUUUAUACUGUAUUAACUAGAAUGUGGUA